RNAcentral lists this ribosomal RNA (467 nucleotides) under uncultured bacterium. Its description in RNAcentral is "partial 16S ribosomal RNA". It matches the Rfam family "Bacterial small subunit ribosomal RNA", at positions 28 to 507 of the family's 1533-position model. The record is from RNAcentral.
GACGAACGCUGGCGGCGUGCUUAACACAUGCAAGUCGAACGGAAAGGCCCUGCUUUUGUGGGGUGCUCGAGUGGCGAACGGGUGAGUAACACGUGAGUAACCUGCCCUUGACUUUGGGAUAACUUCAGGAAACUGGGGCUAAUACCGGAUAGGAGCUCCUGCUGCAUGGUGGGGGUUGGAAAGUUUCGGCGGUUGGGGAUGGACUCGCGGCUUAUCAGCUUGUUGGUGGGGUAGUGGCUUACCAAGGCUUUGACGGGUAGCCGGCCUGAGAGGGUGACCGGCCACAUUGGGACUGAGAUACGGCCCAGACUCCUACGGGGGCAGCAGUGGGGAAUAUUGCACAAUGGGCGGAAGCCUGAUGCAGCAACGCCGCGUGCGGGAUGACGGCCUUCGGGUUGUAAACCGCUUUCGCCUGUGACGAAGCGUGAGUGACGGUAAUGGGUAAAGAAGCACCGGCUAACUACGUG